Long non-coding RNA from Dendronephthya gigantea, 159 nucleotides. RefSeq lists it as uncharacterized. The record is from RefSeq and is a predicted model, not a curated record. NCBI's taxonomy places the organism in Eukaryota, Metazoa, Cnidaria, Anthozoa, Malacalcyonacea, Nephtheidae. The transcript has 3 exons.
CCGUAUGUAUGUUAGAAAUGCCUUCAGUUAUGGCAAGACUGCUCCCACAAUAUCUGGAAAAGUUUACUAAACUUUCGCCAACGUCUCAAGUUGCCAUACCACUGCUAGAAUUUCCCUCUGCUCUUGCUGAUAAGUCAUUUCAUCCUGGUUUGUCAACUG